CAGAACAUCCUCCUGUAAUGGAACAGAGUAUGAUACCUCAAAGGAUACAUGUUGUCCAGUCCACGCUGACAGAAAAAAUGGUAAACUGACAAAGGGUCUCAGUGAAAGAAUGUCUCAGUGCUGUGGGCUAGAAGCUUACAACCCUCUGAAUGAAAUAUGCUGUAAUAAAACUGUGAAACCAAAACCUUCCCAUGAUGCCCAGUGCUGUGGGAAUGAGCCUUACGAUCCAAAGAUGAAACUAUGCUGUAGUGGAAACCCCCAGAUCAAGCUUUCUGCUUACCAUCGGUGCUGUUAUGGAAGUCAGUUCGACCCUCUCAUUGAAAAAUGCUGUCAAGAUAAAUUUCCAAGGAUACAGCUAAAAAUCAGUGAUUUUGACAACUGUGUAAAAAACAUCAAACUGGAUGGACAUCAAAGCACCUGUCAAGGGUAUGUAAUAACUGAUAGUUUUUCAACUUGUGUACC
Cyprinodon tularosa is the source of this 462-nucleotide long non-coding RNA. RefSeq lists it as uncharacterized. Lineage: Eukaryota; Metazoa; Chordata; Actinopteri; Cyprinodontiformes; Cyprinodontidae. The record is from RefSeq and is a predicted model, not a curated record. The transcript is spliced from 4 exons.